AUUGAACGCUGGCGGCAGGCCUAACGCAUGCAAGUCGAACGGUAACAGGAAGAAGCUUGCUUCUUUGCUGACGAGUGGCGGACGGGUGAGUAAUGUCUGGGAAACUGCCUGAUGGAGGGGGAUAACUACUGGAAACGGUAGCUAAUACCGCAUAACGUCGCAAGACCAAAGAGGGGGACCUUCGGGCCUCUUGCCAUCGGAUGUGCCCAGAUGGGAUUAGCUAGUAGGUGGGGUAACGGCUCACCUAGGCGACGAUCCCUAGCUGGUCUGAGAGGAUGACCAGCCACACUGGAACUGAGACACGGUCCAGACUCCUAAGGGAGGCAGCAGUGGGGAAUAUUGCACAAUGGGCGCAAGCCUGAUGCAGCCAUGCCGCGUGUAUGAAGAAGGCCUUCGGGUUGUAAAGUACUUUCAGCGGGGAGGAAGGGAGUAAAGUUAAUACCUUUGCUCAUUGACGUUACCCGCAGAAGAAGCACCGGCUAACUCCGUG
RNAcentral lists this ribosomal RNA (490 nucleotides) under uncultured bacterium. Its description in RNAcentral is "partial 16S ribosomal RNA". It matches the Rfam family "Bacterial small subunit ribosomal RNA", at positions 30 to 507 of the family's 1533-position model. The record is from RNAcentral.